This is a long non-coding RNA of Mustela erminea (ermine), 420 nucleotides long. RefSeq lists it as uncharacterized. The transcript has 4 exons. NCBI's taxonomy places the organism in Eukaryota, Metazoa, Chordata, Mammalia, Carnivora, Mustelidae. The record is from RefSeq and is a predicted model, not a curated record.
CUAUUCUGAUAUUUGGACCGAGCAGUGGGCUGCUGGAUAGUGAUCCUUUUAUCCAAGAUCUUCAGAUCAAGACCCCUGCACUCUAAGAUCCUGGAUUUAAUAGUCCAGAUUUGCAUAUGUUCCUGAUUGAUGUAGACAUUUAGAGGGAUUGAUUCACGUCAUUGAAUCUCAUGGUCAUGCAGCAAGUACCACAUUAAUUCUAAGUUCUCUACACCAUUUGCCAGUCCUAAUCGCUACAGUGAACCUGUAUUGUUGAGGAGGGAGACAGACAAUAAAAAAACUAAAGAGCUGAAAUUCUAUAAAUUGGAGUGAUGAGAUGCUUUUCUUCUGUGAUGAACAAGAUGAGAAGUAGAUGACACAUUUUGGGGCCUCUCAGUUUACCUUGGAAUUCCAGAUGACUAAAAGAACCAGUGGGAAGCA